AUGGAGAACCCAGGUCCUCCCCUUCCCGGUCCUCUGUGGAUCCGGUUCUCAUCCUCGGCGGCUGUUGCUCUCCAGCCUACCGGUCUCCCCGGGUCACACGGAGACCUGAGUCCCGAGUCCCGCCGUGUGCCCCCAGUCCGCUUCUCUGAUGGACGCUGGGACAGAGGGCAGCCGGGCCCCCUGCACCUCCCCACCGGUUCUGGAUCCACGCGCGAUACACCACUGUGGCGACCACCGGACCCUCCGGGCUCUGCGCCCCCGGGGCUGCGCGCUCCCGAGGCAGAGCUGGGAAGCUCCCCGCGUCCUCCGCGCCCACCGCCUCAGCCGAUUCCAGGGAAGGGGACUCACCUCCGGGACAAGAUUGCAUCUCCCAGUGGAGACUGUUUGCUGCAGUCACACCUGCCUGAUCAGAUCGACCCUGUGCUGUCACCGCUGGCCCUGUUAUUACACCACCUACAUGUGCUCAGAGCUCUGUCUUCAUGCUCCAUUUCUCAAUGGGGAGGAAGUUAAUUUGCACCAAGUGUCUGCUCACAAGCAAGAAAGCCUGCAGGGCUGAGAAAGGCAUUGUGUGAUGCCUCUUCAGCUGCCAUUCCACCACCAAAAACACGGGAAAGGGAUGUCUUUCAGAAACCUUAAAACCAGCACAUUAAAGCCCCAGAAAAAUGCAUGGAUGAAGAAGCUGUGUUCCUGUGAUAGAGAAGAAUUUUCAGUACAGAAGAAAGAAAAUAGCAAAUAAAUAAAAAUAGAAGCCUGGCUUUUAGAAGCACAGAGAUGAAAAGAACAAGGUCUCAGAAGCUCUUUGUGUGCAUCUCUGCCUGUGGCUGGCCAGCUCUUCAGGCCUGGAUUAAAGGUGAAAUAGACAGAGAUGAAAGAAGUGUGGGGCCACUUCAGAGCCAGACACAUGGGAGCAAGGCAGGUGGAAAAGUCCACAGGAUGCCAGGUUGUGGGGCUGGGGACAAUGAGGGACAAAGGUCUUUGCAGCAGUGCUGCCACCUGGCCCUGGGGAAGCCUCAGUUUCCAAGCAAGUUGGGGGCCAGGGACACCAUGUCUUGGUCUGACAUUUGGGUACAUUUUGUUUUAAUUCAGAAAUGGAAAUCAAUCAAAAGCGGUGUGAGCUGAGAGAUGAGUGCAGGAGAGGUUCCCCAUGGCCUGUCCCAGGAGAAUCAGGAUUCUCACACACACCAAGGAAGAGGGCUUGGGGAAGGGUGGCAGGUCUGCCUAACCUCACAACUCAUCGGCCAUGCAUGAAAAGCCAGAAUGACUGGGCCGAUACUUUUAAAACAAAGAAAAAGCCAUCUUUGUAGACAUCCUGAACUGAGAAGUAUGCCUCGUACUUGUGGGUAGAUGCCAGGCACAAACAUGUUCUCGGAACCCAGGGACUCAGGUCAUGACAGAGGCUCAUUUCCAGCUGGCGCUGCUGUCGGGCCUCCAUGUGCAGGUGUUUGUUUUAUUUACUGAUGAAUCUCUGGCACCUGGGGCAGCCCCUUCCCACCACAGGGACCUGAUAAUAUGUGACCACUGGGGCCCUGGAUAAAUGCACUCCCAGGUAAUGAAGACAGUCACAGGGCUAGUGGCACAAAAUCCUUUGUAUUUUAUAAAGGUGUGAGAGCAUUUACUCUGACAGAGGAGUAAAGACCUGUGAACCUGAGUGUUUAGCUAUAAUCAGGUCAAUCCUCACAGUAACUGAGCCAGAGGUGGUAAGUUACUCUUUUUGGGAAAAUGCAGAGUUAGAAUGAGGAGUGCAAACAGACAAACAAAAUGAAAGAAAGGGAGAUGUAAUUGAAGCUGUGGGAUGUCUCAGUCACACUGUAUCCUCUAGACCACCACCACAUGCACCAGGUACCAGGACCAGACUUCUCAGGAUCCAUACCAUCUACACUUGCUCCAGCCUCCUCUCCCUCAUCAGAAGAGAAACAAGGUGAAAGUAAGGCUCAGUGUUCAUGCUUACCUUAUCCUCUGUCCUGAGGAAACCACCUGUGAAGUUGGAGUCCAUGACUACAAGCUUCUGUGUUUAUCUCCAUUGGUGAUCACCGCACCUGGAUAUUUGUCAUCAUUGAAAGCUCUAAAUGGUUCACCAUCUCUGGUAUAUACUGUUUUCUUGUGGGUUUAAUAAACAGUACUGAUUGCAGUUAACCUUUUUCCACUUGUGUUUUGAACAGCCA
RNAcentral lists this long non-coding RNA (2162 nucleotides) under Fukomys damarensis (Damara mole-rat). RNAcentral's name for it is "lncRNA (ENSFDAG00000022679.1)". The record is from RNAcentral. Lineage: Eukaryota; Metazoa; Chordata; Mammalia; Rodentia; Bathyergidae.